CCACUCUAAUUUUUUCAACCGGUCAAAGCGCGCGCUUUUCCGCCAGCUCCGCGUUUCGGGCCGUGAAAAGCCGGAAAAUAGUGAAAAAUCCUACGUGAAAAAAUGUCGCACAGCUUCGCAGUGAAGUCUAGAAGUGAAUAAACAUAAAAUAUGUCCGAAAAUUUGUGUUUAAGUGCACUUGCUCUGGUGCGGGGGCGAAAUGGCAGAGAAAUUGGUGCAAGUGAAGUGCAACAAGUGUUUUUUUCUUAUUAGCAUUUUCUUUUAUGUGUUUCUUUUAAUUUCUUUCAUGUGCAAUAUGGGCGCAGCACCCCGGGGCACCCAUCAUUUUUUUUUCUUAGGCGUUUGCUCACGUGAUCUAGCGUUGUGGUGUGUGUGUGAAAAAUAUGCAAAAGGGCGCGCAGUUUUGCUCUCUCCCUCUCUCCAAAUGGAAGAAGGAAAAAAUGCAGAAAGAAUUAGCGAUGAGCGACGACCGCUCUCAAUGCAAGCAUCGCGAUAGUAAAAGCCUUGCAAAGAUUUGCGGUGGAGCCCCCAGGCACUAUCUGUUCUAAAAGUGGUAAGCAUGACUGUUUAUUUCCUUAAAAAAGCAAAACCCCAGUUGCCAAGAUCAUCUAAAUAUAUACCUUAUCCCUAGCCGUGACUCACGGACCAGUCUGGGAAAUGGUAAUUAUAAUGAAAGAGAAUUACUCACGGCACCCCACUCACUACUCACCAGUGGCAUGCGAACAAAUAUGAUUUGUACUCUUUGUGCGAGUGCAUGCUCGGGCUAUUGUAUGCACUCGUUGUCCUACGGUCUGGGGCUACAGUGGGGCCUGCCUCCUAGUUUCCCAGAGCUCUAUGGUCCAUGAAUUAAGUGUGGCCUUCGUCUUAGAGAUGCCCCACUGUAUUUGUAAUUUCAAUUACGGUUUACACGAAUCUCCCCAUGCUGCUGCCUCCCUCGCUCGCUCGCCAGUCGGCGAGCUUCGGCUGCUAUCAGCUCUGCCGAGGCCGCUGCCGUCGCCCGUCUGCUGCCGUUGCUCUCUGCCGACGCCUCUGUCGACUGCAGUCCGUGCAGUUCAA
This 1056-nucleotide small RNA is filed under the name Drosophila pseudoobscura pseudoobscura. RNAcentral describes it as "GA32945". Lineage: Eukaryota; Metazoa; Arthropoda; Insecta; Diptera; Drosophilidae. The record is from RNAcentral.